AGCGGAGGAAAAGAAAAUAACAAUGAUUCCCUUAGUAACUGCGAGUGAAGGGGGAAANGCUCAAAUUUUAAAUCUGUUAGGUUAUACCUGACCGAGUUGUAAUUUGAAGAGGCGUUUUCUGAGGUUUUGAUCAGUCCAAGUCCUUUGGGAUAAGGCAUCAUGGAGGGUGAGAAUCCCGUUCGGUUGAUCAGAACUUCUUUACGAUACGUCAUCAAAGAGUCAAGUUGUUUGGGAUUGCAGCUUAAAAUGGGAGGUAAAUUUCUCCUAAGGCUAAAUAACGGCGAGAGACCGAUAGCGAACAAGUACCGUGAGGGAAAGAUGAAAAGAACUUUGAAAAGAGAGUUAAACAGUACGUGAAAUUGUUGAAAGGGAAACGAUUGAAGCCAGUCGUACCGGCGGGUAAUCAGCCUUUUGGGUGUGAUUAUGUGGAGUGUGAGGAGUUAAACACCCUCAUCUUUGCAUAUUCGUGCACUUUGGGUGUACUUGCUCGUGUGGUAGGUUAACAUCAAUUUUGAUCGUCAUAAAAUGAUUGGAGGAAUGUAGCUUCGAUCUCGUAUUGAAGUGUUAUAGCCUUCGGUAGAUGUGAUGAUUGGGAUUGAGGAUUGCAACGGAUACCCUUCGGGGCUACCUGUCUGAUCUCUGAAAGUUGCUCUGGUGCUGAAAGCUUGCUUAUAGUAUCAAAGUUGACGUUCAACAGGUUAGAACGGGAUAAAUUCGUUAAGGAUGUUGACGUAAUGGCUUUAAACGACCCGUCUUG
This 757-nucleotide ribosomal RNA is filed under the name Glomeromycotina sp. OTU9 DJMC-2012. RNAcentral describes it as "eukaryotic LSU rRNA". It matches the Rfam family "Eukaryotic large subunit ribosomal RNA", at positions 49 to 656 of the family's 3401-position model. Lineage: Eukaryota; Fungi; Glomeromycota. The record is from RNAcentral.